CCCCUUGGGAUUGGACCCGGCCCAAUUCCUUCGGAGGCAGCAUUGGGAUUCUUGGCAAUGACGAAAGUCUGACCGAGCAACGCCGCGGAAGGAAGAAGUUUUCGGAUCGUAAAAUUCUGUUGUUAGAGAAGAACAAGGAUGAGAGUAACUGUUCAUCCCUUGACGGUAUCUAACCAGGAAGCCACGGCUAACUACGUGCCAGCAGCCGCGGUAAUACGUAGGUGGCAAGCGUUGUCCGGAUUUAUUGGGCGUAAAGCGAGCGCAGGCGGUUUCUUAAGUCUGAUGUGAAAGCCCCCGGCUCAACCCGGGAGGGUCAUUGGAAACUGGGAGACUUGAGUGCAGAAGAGGAGAGUGGAAUUCCAUGUGUAGCGGUGAAAUGCGUAGAUAUAUGGAGGAACACCAGUGGCGAAGGCGGCUCUCUGGUCUGUAACUGACGCUGAGGCUCGAAAGCGUGGGGAGCAAACAGGAUUAGAUACCCUGGUAGUCCACGCCGUAAACGAUGAGUGCUAAGUGUUGGAGGGUUUCCGCCCUUCAGUGCUGCAGCUAACGCAUUAAGCACUCCGCCUGGGGAGUACGACCGCAAGGUUGAAACUCAAAGGAAUUGACGGGGGCCCGCACAAGCGGUGGAGCAUGUGGUUUAAUUCGAAGCAACGCGAAGAACCUUACCAGGUCUUGACAUCCUUUGACCACUCUAGAGAUAGAGCUUCCCCUUCGGGGGCAAAGUGACAGGUGGUGCAUGGUUGUCGUCAGCUCGUGUCGUGAGAUGUUGGGUUAAGUCCCGCAACGAGCGCAACCCUUAUUGUUAGUUGCCAUCAUUCAGUUGGGCACUCUAGCAAGACUGCCGGUGACAAACCGGAGGAAGGUGGGGAUGACGUCAAAUCAUCAUGCCCCUUAUGACCUGGGCUACACACGUGCUACAAUGGGAAGUACAACGAGUUGCGAAGUCGCGAGGCUAAGCUAAUCUCUUAAAGCUUCUCUCAGUUCGGAUUGCAGGCUGCAACUCGCCUGCAUGAAGCCGGAAUCGCUAGUAAUCGCGGAUCAGCACGCCGCGGUGAAUACGUUCCCGGGCCUUGUACACACCGCCCGUCACACCACGAGAGUUUGUAACACCCGAAGUCGGUGAGGUAACCUUUUGGAGCCAGCCGCCUAAGGUGGA
This 1156-nucleotide ribosomal RNA is filed under the name Enterococcus faecium. RNAcentral describes it as "bacterial SSU rRNA". It matches the Rfam family "Bacterial small subunit ribosomal RNA", at positions 309 to 1466 of the family's 1533-position model. Lineage: Bacteria; Bacillati; Bacillota; Bacilli; Lactobacillales; Enterococcaceae. The record is from RNAcentral.